Nipponia nippon (crested ibis) is the source of this 73-nucleotide non-coding RNA. Lineage: Eukaryota; Metazoa; Chordata; Aves; Pelecaniformes; Threskiornithidae. The record is from the annotation of a RefSeq genome assembly.
GUUUCUGUAGUGUAGCGAUUAUCACGUUCGCCUCACACGCGAAAGGUUUCCGGUUCGAAACCGGGCAGAAACA